This 687-nucleotide ribosomal RNA is filed under the name Orcula sp. AL7138. Its description in RNAcentral is "partial 12S ribosomal RNA". RNAcentral also lists the same sequence under 1 other name. Lineage: Eukaryota; Metazoa; Mollusca; Gastropoda; Stylommatophora; Orculidae. The record is from RNAcentral.
CCAAAAACGGAUAUUUAUUAUCCUUCUUAGACCCUAAUUACUACUUUAUUUGAUAGAUAAUAUUACUGAAGAUUUGGUUAAUUAUGGAAUAUAAAUAAAGUAACCAGUUAAUAACAUUAUAUAAUUACAUAAAUGUAAAUAUAGCCUAUUCUUGAUACUAUGGUUUAUAUUGUGCCAGCAACCGCGGUCAAACUCUAAUAGUAAGUAAUAUUUAUAUAAUAUUUCUAAUAAUUACUGAUAUAAACUAAAGACUCUAUGGUAAAAUAUAUUUCUUAUGUUAAAACUAACUAUCAUUAAAUAAUACAAAACUAUGAAGAAAAACUAGGAUUAGAUACCCUAUUAUUCAUAGUACUUUUUAGAUCUUUGAGGAGUACACAAGCUAAACUCAAAAAUAAUGGCGGCUUAUAAAAUUCUUUAGGGGAGCUUACCUAGUAAAUGAUAACCACCAAGAAUAAUGUACUUAGUUUAGAAAAGUUUGUAUGCCGUCGUCUUAAACAAUCUCGUAGAUUGUUUUAUUAAUUUCUAGAAAUUUAUAGACAGAUCUAGGUGCAGCCUAUAGCUAAGUUGGGGCGAGCUACAAUAAUUAAAUGUUUACGAAUUAUCUAUUUUUUAAUAGUUAUGAAGUUGGACUUAAAAGUAAUAACUAUUAAAUAAAAUUUAAAAUAUGAAUUUUCUUUUUAUAAGUGU